Molecule: ribosomal RNA, 503 nt
Filed under: uncultured bacterium
Lineage: Bacteria
Description: partial 16S ribosomal RNA
Rfam family: Bacterial small subunit ribosomal RNA
Source: RNAcentral
AUUGAACGCUGGCGGCAGGCUUAACACAUGCAAGUCGAGCGGGGUGAUGGUGCUUGCACUAUCACUUAGCGGCGGACGGGUGAGUAAUGCUUAGGAAUCUGCCUAUUAGUGGGGGACAACAUCUCGAAAGGGAUGCUAAUACCGCAUACGUCCUACGGGAGAAAGCAGGGGAUCACUUGUGACCUUGCGCUAAUAGAUGAGCCUAAGUCGGAUUAGCUGGUUGGUGGGGUAAAGGCCUACCAAGGCGACGAUCUGUAGCGGGUCUGAGAGGAUGAUCCGACACACUGGGACUGAGACACGGCCCAGACUCCUACGGGAGGCAGCAGUGGGGAAUAUUGGACAAUGGGGGGAACCCUGAUCCAGCCAUGCCGCGUGUGUGAAGAAGGCCUUAUGGUUGUAAAGCACUUUAAGCGAGGAGGAGGCUCUUUUGGUUAAUACCCAAGAUGAGUGGACGUUACUCGCAGAAUAAGCACCGGCUAACUCUGUGCCAGCAGCCGCAGUAA